AUUGAACGCUGGCGGCAGGCCUAACACAUGCAGGUCGAGCGGAUGAGGGGAGCUUGCUCCUGGUUUCAGCGGCGGACGGGUGAGUAAUGCCUAGGAAUCUGCCUGGUAGUGGGGGAUAACGUCCGGAAACGGGCGCUAAUACCGCAUACGUCCUGAGGGAGAAAGUGGGGGAUCUUCGGACCUCACGCUAUCAGAUGAGCCUAGGUCGGAUUAGCUAGUUGGUGGGGUAAAGGCCUACCAAGGCGACGAUCCGUAACUGGUCUGAGAGGAUGAUCAGUCACACUGGAACUGAGACACGGUCCAGACUCCUACGGGAGGCAGCAGUGGGGAAUAUUGGACAAUGGGCGAAAGCCUGAUCCAGCCAUGCCGCGUGUGUGAAGAAGGUCUUCGGAUUGUAAAGCACUUUAAGUUGGGAGGAAGGGCAGUAAGUUAAUACCUUGCUGUUUUGACGUUACCAACAGAAUAAGCACCGGCUAACUUCGUG
RNAcentral lists this ribosomal RNA (484 nucleotides) under uncultured bacterium. RNAcentral describes it as "partial 16S ribosomal RNA". It matches the Rfam family "Bacterial small subunit ribosomal RNA", at positions 30 to 507 of the family's 1533-position model. The record is from RNAcentral.